ACGACGGGACCCAGGGAAGUGUGCCUACCAUCCGCUUGUGUCUGGAAGGGCCCUUCUCCCCCUCCUUGCCCAGCCUCUAUGUGGCCCGGCUUCUCCAGGCUCAGAGUGUUUGGUUGAGCAGAGUGUGUGCUCCAGGUUUGCAUGGUCUCCACAACGCACUGUGUAACAUUUGGAAUGAGACGGUCCUAAGAUAUUCCCACAGAAGCUGUUUAAGCCAAGGGGCAGCUGGGAGUCAAGUCUGACUUGGAAAGUGGGUGCUUGACCUUGGCGCCAUGAUUGAGAGAGUGAACAUUGACACAAUGAUGCUCAUCUGUGGCGGCUUAUUGAUCGCCGCGUUUUUCCUCUUGUGCUGUUUCCUCUGUGUCUACUGCAAGCUGGCCAGCGUCUUGAGGUGAGUGAGUGGGUGGGAGGGAAUGAGACCCCUCCCGUGGGACACCUGGGGCUCUCUGCCAGGGCAGGGCCACUCCUUGCCCUGGGGCCACACCCUGACUGGGGUCAGGGGCAGAGGGCAGGUCUGAACAGGCAAAGGCAGGUGAGUACAGGACCUUGGCUUCUUCUCCUCCCGGCUUGGGUUUGUGGGCUCACAGGGGAGAGUUGUCAGCCCGGCGGGCAGGUGGCUCUGUGUGUCACU
Molecule: long non-coding RNA, 631 nt
Organism: Artibeus jamaicensis (Jamaican fruit-eating bat)
Lineage: Eukaryota; Metazoa; Chordata; Mammalia; Chiroptera; Phyllostomidae
Exons: 3
Source: RefSeq, a predicted model, not a curated record